This 128-nucleotide small RNA is filed under the name Geodermatophilus obscurus. Its description in RNAcentral is "c-di-AMP sequence". It matches the Rfam family "c-di-AMP riboswitch aptamer (ydaO/yuaA leader)". Rfam says of the family: This family represents a conserved RNA structure found upstream of the ydaO and yuaA genes in Bacillus subtilis and related genes in other bacteria. Lineage: Bacteria; Bacillati; Actinomycetota; Actinomycetes; Geodermatophilales; Geodermatophilaceae. RNAcentral also lists the same sequence under 1 other name. The record is from RNAcentral.
GACCACGGCGCGCCGCACCCGAGUCCGCGACUCGGGCGGGCCCGUCUCGGGGUGAAGCCGCGGACCGCGGCCGGGCACCGAUCGCCCGAACCCGACAGCUGACCUCGCCGGCGGUGAUCGGAGAUCAC